GUAUAAGGUUUUAAAGGCAAUUAAAGCCCUAAUAACAUUCUUAAACAUACUUGGGGGUAUAUAUAAACAUAGACCAAGAAAUGUAAGGAAAGCCGGCUUUCGCACAGCAGUCCCCAAACCGAGUUUCCUCGAGAGGUAUCCAGGUCUACAGAAGGUGCACAGGUGGUAAAAAGUUUGGUGUUAGGCGUGCACAUGCUCCUGAGAGCCAGCAACAACCCAACCAAGCUUUAUUCAAUAAUGAUCCUUCCGCAGGUUCACCUACGGAAA
This 267-nucleotide unclassified non-coding RNA is filed under the name uncultured fungus. Its description in RNAcentral is "sequence contains ITS1". Lineage: Eukaryota; Fungi. The record is from RNAcentral.